RNAcentral lists this ribosomal RNA (674 nucleotides) under uncultured Pseudomonadales bacterium. RNAcentral's name for it is "bacterial SSU rRNA". It matches the Rfam family "Bacterial small subunit ribosomal RNA", at positions 59 to 728 of the family's 1533-position model. Lineage: Bacteria; Pseudomonadati; Pseudomonadota; Gammaproteobacteria; Pseudomonadales. The record is from RNAcentral.
AAGUCGAGCGGAUGAGAAGAGCUUGCUCUUCGAUUCAGCGGCGGACGGGUGAGUAAUGCCUAGGAAUCUGCCUGGUAGUGGGGGACAACGUUUCGAAAGGAACGCUAAUACCGCAUACGUCCUACGGGAGAAAGCAGGGGACCUUCGGGCCUUGCGCUAUCAGAUGAGCCUAGGUCGGAUUAGCUAGUUGGUGAGGUAAUGGCUCACCAAGGCGACGAUCCGUAACUGGUCUGAGAGGAUGAUCAGUCACACUGGAACUGAGACACGGUCCAGACUCCUACGGGAGGCAGCAGUGGGGAAUAUUGGACAAUGGGCGAAAGCCUGAUCCAGCCAUGCCGCGUGUGUGAAGAAGGUCUUCGGAUUGUAAAGCACUUUAAGUUGGGAGGAAGGGCAUUAACCUAAUACGUUAGUGUUUUGACGUUACCGACAGAAUAAGCACCGGCUAACUACGUGCCAGCAGCCGCGGUAAUACAGAGGGUGCAAGCGUUAAUCGGAAUUACUGGGCGUAAAGCGCGCGUAGGUGGUUUGUUAAGUUGGAUGUGAAAGCCCCGGGCUCAACCUGGGAACUGCAUCCAAAACUGGCAAGCUAGAGUACGGUAGAGGGUGGUGGAAUUUCCUGUGUAGCGGUGAAAUGCGUAGAUAUAGGAAGGAACACCAGUGGCGAAGGCGACCAC